Non-coding RNA from Rattus norvegicus (Norway rat), 69 nucleotides. The record is from Rfam. Lineage: Eukaryota; Metazoa; Chordata; Mammalia; Rodentia; Muridae.
GGGGAUUUAGCUCAGCGGUAGAGCGCUUGCCUAGCAAGUGCAAGGCCCUGGGUUCGAUCCUCAGCUCCG